GUCGUAUCUAGAAUGCAGUUCCCUAUUCUCGAAUGUAACCGAUCGAAUUAAACUAUAUCGUAGUUUGUUUCAGCAUUUGCAACACGACGGAUCUGCAUACCCACUCGGAGCAUCGAAUAUCAUCCACAGUUUUUUGGCAUGGUUCAUGCUGUUCCAUAUUUCGUUGUUAUGUUGUGUACCGUUUUUUUGUCUGUUUUUUUUUUUUUUUUUUUUCACUUUUAGCCAUAGCGUUGUCAGUUUGUUUUUGACUUGAGUUCGGGGAGUUUGGAUGUCACUCUCGGCAUCGUUCGCCUCUUUUUGAUAUACCAGCGUCACAGAUGACGAAGAAUAUGUUGGUAGGGUUUGUAUUGCUCAGUCUUAAGUUUUUGAUGUGUUUUGUGGAGUUUUUAUUUUUUUGCUUUUCGAAUUUUUUAGUUUUUAUUUUUGUCGCGGCGUUUUCAAUAUGUCUUUGAGUUUGAAUGUCCCUGUCAUACUUCGUAAAAACCAGUCAGAUUCAAACAAGAAAUCCUCUGAAAAUAACAUGAUCCAGAUGACUGAUUUCUUGAUAUAUACUACAUAUUACAUUUUAUUCAACAAAUAAACAUCAUUUUCAUGGGGACCAACUGUGUUCCCCUUCUAGCCAACUUGUUCCUCUAUUCAUAUGAGACAG
This 649-nucleotide long non-coding RNA is filed under the name Mytilus galloprovincialis (Mediterranean mussel). The record is from RNAcentral. Lineage: Eukaryota; Metazoa; Mollusca; Bivalvia; Mytilida; Mytilidae.